Long non-coding RNA from Zonotrichia leucophrys gambelii, 675 nucleotides. RefSeq lists it as uncharacterized. The transcript has 3 exons. The record is from RefSeq and is a predicted model, not a curated record. NCBI's taxonomy places the organism in Eukaryota, Metazoa, Chordata, Aves, Passeriformes, Passerellidae.
AAUUCCUGUGCCUGUGCUAAGAUUUAAUCAGUCCCCCGUGGGAGCUGCAUUAAAAGGGAAUGCUCCAAGGCCUGGAGCAGUGUGCGGGGAUGUGAAUAAAAAUCAUGGAGUCGGUGCCACCCCGGCCCCAGCUGAAUGCUUUUCACAGAUGGGGAGCUGGAAAUGCUGAAUGAAAUCAUUCCAGGCUUGUCACAGAACCUGGCAGAGCAGCCACCAGCAUGGAAAUGUGGUUUUGUCAUGUAUUUCACACUGAAACCUGCUGAGUGCAGCUUGGGCCAGGGAUGCUGACACUUCUUGCCCAGUGGGAUUCCCUGCCCUGCCACAACCUCAGAGCAAAACCUGAACCCAAGGCUUCAGCUGUCGUGAGGAGGAGCAGGAAACCCAAACAGCAGCAGAGUUUUGACGUGACCCAGAUGAAAUUUCGAGCCUGACUCUUUGAACUGGGUUUUUUUCCCUCAGACCAUGGCAUGUUGCACACCCUCCCGAGCCCCCAGCCCUCCUCCAGCAGGCUGGGGAAGAGCAUCCUGUGAGAUUUCCUUCGUUAGUAUGGAUUUAUGCUUCUGGAGCACUCUUGAUGGUUUGUUUUCUCCCCCUUUCUACAUAAAAAAUGAGUUGCUUUUGUAGCGCUCAGCAUUGUGUUAUGAAUAUUAAUCCAGAGGGUUUAUUUUUGUUAUU